Long non-coding RNA from Nannospalax galili (Upper Galilee mountains blind mole rat), 538 nucleotides. RefSeq lists it as uncharacterized. Lineage: Eukaryota; Metazoa; Chordata; Mammalia; Rodentia; Spalacidae. The record is from RefSeq and is a predicted model, not a curated record. The transcript is spliced from 3 exons.
GUCAAUGACCAGAGUCUCUAUGUGAAUGUGAAACCCACGGAGGUUCAUCGGGAGGUACCUCAUGAAGACAGAGGUGGGGCCUGGAGCCACAGAGCUCUCAUCCAAGCCCAGAAUACCAAGUUCUGCCAGCACCUGGAAUUGUUUGUGGCAAUCUGCUAGAGCAGUCCUCAGAGGCCCUGGCCAUCCAGUUCUCCCGCCAACAAGGAAGCACCUCCCAAGGGACCACAUUGCCCCUUGGAGCCAGUCCUGAUGCAACUACCAUGAUUUAAAGACUCUGGAAGCCUCACCCACAGGCUUCAUGCCCAGGCAAGUGACUUUGGAGAAAGCCCUGGUCUCUGAAGUGCCAGGCCACAGACUCUGCUCUUAGGCUCUGUGAACAGCACAGACAAGGCACCUCCCUCCGAUGGAGAAGAAAACAGAUGCCCCAGGCGAGAAACUCAUUUUGACAAUUAUUGGAUCAUUUCAAGGUUCUAGAACAUCGAAGGAAGGGCAAUGUUUUCUUGAAAGCUGCCAUUAAAAUAUCAGAAUAAUUCUUGAA